Long non-coding RNA from Daphnia magna, 486 nucleotides. RefSeq lists it as uncharacterized. NCBI's taxonomy places the organism in Eukaryota, Metazoa, Arthropoda, Branchiopoda, Diplostraca, Daphniidae. The transcript is spliced from 3 exons. The record is from RefSeq and is a predicted model, not a curated record.
UUUUCACCAUGAUUCAAACGUAAUGGCGAGUCGUGAAGAGGAGCGUCGUCAAUUACUUUUUUUUUGUGAAAUUCCUUUUAUUUCCAUCGAUCUUGACACAGGCCUUCUAGAAUAUUGGCUAUUUGAUGAUCUCACUGGACGGUUUUUUAAUUCAUCGACGGCAGAAUUUUUUCAGUGUAACAUCACAUGGGAGACUCUGAUUGAUAACACCCAUCAACGAGAAGAUUAACUACAAAAUGCCACGUAAAUAUGUGAGAGUCAAAACUAAUGUUUUGCCAACAGAUGAGGCUUUGAAGAAUGCAAUAGUAGCUGUCCACUCAAAAGUACUAAGCAUCAGACACGCUGCUGAGAGAUUUAAUCUUUCCAAAUCAACAGUUGGAUUUUAUUGUAAAAGACAUACUUUGGAAUCCAUCGUCUUGGAUCCAAAAACAACAAUUAAGACAAAACAUCACUCCCAAAUAUUUUCAAGGACACAAGAAGACGAAU